Molecule: ribosomal RNA, 467 nt
Filed under: uncultured bacterium
Lineage: Bacteria
Description: partial 16S ribosomal RNA
Rfam family: Bacterial small subunit ribosomal RNA
Source: RNAcentral
GACGAACGCUGGCGGCGUGCUUAACACAUGCAAGUCGAACGGAAAGGCCUCUUUCGGGGGGUACUCGGGUGGCGAACGGGUGAGUAACACGUGAGUAACCUGCCCUUGACUUUGGGAUAACUUCAGGAAACUGGGGCUAAUACCGGAUAGGAGCUCCUGCUGCAUGGUGGGGGUUGGAAAGUUUCGGCGGUUGGGGAUGGACUCGCGGCUUAUCAGCUUGUUGGUGGGGUAGUGGCUUACCAAGGCUUUGACGGGUAGCCGGCCUGAGAGGGUGACCGGCCACAUUGGGACUGAGAUACGGCCCAGACUCCUACGGGAGGCAGCAGUGGGGAAGAUUGCACAAGGGGCGGAAGCCUGAUGCAGCAACGCCGUGUGCGGGAUGACGGCCUUCGGGUUGUAAACCGCUUUCGCUCAUGACGAAGCUUUGUGUGACGGUAGUGGGUAAAGAAGCACCGGCUAACUACGUG